Dunckerocampus dactyliophorus (ringed pipefish) is the source of this 1856-nucleotide long non-coding RNA. RefSeq lists it as uncharacterized. The transcript has 10 exons. The record is from RefSeq and is a predicted model, not a curated record. Lineage: Eukaryota; Metazoa; Chordata; Actinopteri; Syngnathiformes; Syngnathidae.
AACAGUUGCUCACUCCGGCUCAGAAUGGCGGAUUCCGGUGAUUGACACCUGGAACCGUCAGGACCAAUAGAAUCAAACCUAGGUUAUCAUUUUGCGGUCAGAGAAGCCAUCAGCGAAUCAAAGGAUGUACCACCCACGUGAUGACGAUCGACAGCGUCUUACGUACUCGGCUGCGCAUGCGUCACUCAAAUCCAACUUGGAGUCUGAAGAAGCGGCAAAAGAAGUGGGAGACAUAUUGGACUUAAUUGAAGAACGAGAGCGACGGAUACAGGCACAUUACAAUGGUUUAUGCAAAGGCUGUUUGGCUUGAGGGUCACAAACAGUUUGAGGGUGUUACCCCAAAAAACUGGAUAUAGGAAGAAGGAAAUGUUGUGCGAUGGCCAAAGAAAAGUGUGCAUUCAGCCCAUAAAAAAAGGACCCAGACGAUGACUGGAACACGUUCCCACUUGUGAAAAUAAAGACAAUAUCAGACAAUGAGAAAGAUUGUGAAGACUAUAACUACACUUCAUCAGCCCAAACUGACCAUGAGGGUUCCACCAUCGUGCCAGAAGAAAUCAGGAAGAGACAUGUAAAGAAGAGGGCAUAUGAUUUUGUUGAUGAUAAGGAUACAGGUUUGCAUGCAUAUCCAAAGCCUCCUGAAAUCCAGAAGAACGAAUUUGCUUCUGCUACCAUCGAUCAAACCACUCCUAAGGAAUCCACCAUGGAUAAUGACGUGUGUACUUGGACUAGACGGCUGCCAAAUUCAUCCAGAGGAUGCUGAAAGUGAACAUGACAGCAGACAUGUUACAGCAUUUUCCUGUCUUCCUGUUCCACACAUGCCAUCUUGGUGUUACAGGGUUGUCAAGGUCAAGGGAGCGUUCCAACUGAUCCCCCCGAUCACCAAUCAAGUCAUGGAAGUGAUGGAGGAUAUUCCACUUCUUGUUCUCAGUCAUCAGUGGGCUCAACUCCCAGACGCUCUUCUUCCAGAUAUGGGCAGUCCUGCUCUAGAAGGGAGCGUCCCAACUCUUCCAGUCACCGAUCAAGCCAUCAAAGUCCUACACCUUCCACUCUAGGACACUCAACAUCCAGACAUGGCUGAUGACAAACUCCCUGAUGUCUUCAUUCAAUAUGUAGGGCCACGGUUCCAAAAGGGCAUUCCAACCGACAGAACUUUACGCCAUUGUGACAGCUGCUGUCAAAAGGUGGGACAGCAAAGCCACAGACCAUGAAAUUUCACGUACUAUGGCAGACCAUUUCAAACAUGGUCCUGGGCGGUCUGGUGGUGGAGGCUAUCUUAAAAAAUAAAACAGAGCAGCAUUGACGAGGAAACAUCAGGGAGGAACUUCGGUUGUUUGAGUUCAUCGGUCCACACUAGUUUUGGCCCUGAUCAGUUGUGAUAUGAGAUGGAAAGAUUUCACUUCAUGUACAGUAUUAUCUACAGUCAUGACUGUAUUGAAGUCUAUUUUUUUGUUUUACAUCCUUUAUAUCAUGUUCUUCUGGAUAUAAGAUUAUUUUGUUGUUGUCCAUGUGAGAACAGUAAAUGUUUUAUUGAUACAUUUUUUUGUUAAAUUGUCUUGUUUUUUUUAAAGGGUUAAAAUUCUGUUCUAAAUUUGUGAUUAUUUAUAAUUAAUUCACGUUUAAUUUAGACACCAAAGCAAUGUCUUCAUGGAGACGUCUUUUCCAAAAACCUGAAAAAGACGACUUUUCACCAUUCGCUUUUCAACCAAAUUUGAACCGCAAAGGGACGUCUUCAUGGAGAGACGUCUUUUCAACGACCUGAAAAAGACGGCUUUUCACCAUUCACUUUUCAACCAAAUUUGGACCGCAAAGGGACGUCUUCAUGGAGCUGUCUUUUCAACAUCCUGAAAAAGACGACU